AAUUUUGGACAAUGGGGGAAACCCUGAUCCAGCCAUCCCGCGUGUAUGAUGAAGGCCUUCGGGUUGUAAAGUACUUUUGGCAGAGAAGAAAAGGUAUCUCCUAAUACGAGAUACUGCUGACGGUAUCUGCAGAAUAAGCACCGGCUAACUACGUUCCAGCAGCCGCGGUAAUACGUAGGGUGCAAGCGUUAAUCGGAAUUACUGGGCGUAAAGUGUGUGUAGGCGGUUCGGAAAAAGAUAUGUGAAAUCCCAGGGCUCAACCUUGGAACUGCAUUUAUAACUGCCGAGAUAGAGUAUGACAGAGGGGGGUAGAAUUCCACGUGUAGCAGUGAAAUGCGUAGAUAUGUAGAGGAAUACCGAUGGAGAAGGCAGCCCCCUGGGAUAAUACUGGCGCACAGACACGAAAGCGUGGGGAGCAAACA
RNAcentral lists this ribosomal RNA (422 nucleotides) under uncultured bacterium. Its description in RNAcentral is "partial 16S ribosomal RNA". It matches the Rfam family "Bacterial small subunit ribosomal RNA", at positions 360 to 774 of the family's 1533-position model. The record is from RNAcentral.